Molecule: non-coding RNA, 273 nt
Organism: Pelobates cultripes (western spadefoot toad)
Lineage: Eukaryota; Metazoa; Chordata; Amphibia; Anura; Pelobatidae
Source: the annotation of a GenBank genome assembly
GUGAAUUUUAAAAUGAUUUGAAACGCUAUGUGUUUCUAAUCCUUUUUUUAUAUUCCUAACAUGUUCCUCAACCCUUAUGUGUACAUAUACAAUUUUUACAAUUAUCCAUAAAAAUACAUUUUAAUAACAUAGAAACCCCACAAAAGUCAUAUCCCGGAAUAGCUUUGGUCCGAGCACGCAAAUGUCGAAAUAGCACUCAGAUCCCUUUGGUGGUUUAGAAAUGCUAUUCAAAUGAAGUUUUGACCUGUUGGCCACAAGGAGAUGCCCCAAAAC